RNAcentral lists this ribosomal RNA (971 nucleotides) under Leuconostoc mesenteroides. RNAcentral's name for it is "bacterial SSU rRNA". It matches the Rfam family "Bacterial small subunit ribosomal RNA", at positions 28 to 984 of the family's 1533-position model. The record is from RNAcentral. Lineage: Bacteria; Bacillati; Bacillota; Bacilli; Lactobacillales; Lactobacillaceae.
GAUGACGCUGGCGGCGUGCCUAAUACAUGCAAGUCGAACGCACAGCGAAAGGUGCUUGCACCUUUCAAGUGAGUGGCGAACGGGUGAGUAACACGUGGACAACCUGCCUCAAGGCUGGGGAUAACAUUUGGAAACAGAUGCUAAUACCGAAUAAAACUUAGUGUCGCAUGACAAAAAGUUAAAAGGCGCUUCGGCGUCACCUAGAGAUGGAUCCGCGGUGCAUUAGUUAGUUGGUGGGGUAAAGGCCUACCAAGACAAUGAUGCAUAGCCGAGUUGAGAGACUGAUCGGCCACAUUGGGACUGAGACACGGCCCAAACUCCUACGGGAGGCUGCAGUAGGGAAUCUUCCACAAUGGGCGAAAGCCUGAUGGAGCAACGCCGCGUGUGUGAUGAAGGCUUUCGGGUCGUAAAGCACUGUUGUAUGGGAAGAACAGCUAGAAUAGGAAAUGAUUUUAGUUUGACGGUACCAUACCAGAAAGGGACGGCUAAAUACGUGCCAGCAGCCGCGGUAAUACGUAUGUCCCGAGCGUUAUCCGGAUUUAUUGGGCGUAAAGCGAGCGCAGACGGUUUAUUAAGUCUGAUGUGAAAGCCCGGAGCUCAACUCCGGAAUGGCAUUGGAAACUGGUUAACUUGAGUGCAGUAGAGGUAAGUGGAACUCCAUGUGUAGCGGUGGAAUGCGUAGAUAUAUGGAAGAACACCAGUGGCGAAGGCGGCUUACUGGACUGCAACUGACGUUGAGGCUCGAAAGUGUGGGUAGCAAACAGGAUUAGAUACCCUGGUAGUCCACACCGUAAACGAUGAACACUAGGUGUUAGGAGGUUUCCGCCUCUUAGUGCCGAAGCUAACGCAUUAAGUGUUCCGCCUGGGGAGUACGACCGCAAGGUUGAAACUCAAAGGAAUUGAGGGGACCCGCACAAGCGGUGGAGCAUGUGGUUUAAUUCGAAGCACGCGAGAACCUUACCAGGUCUUGA